RNAcentral lists this transfer RNA (72 nucleotides) under Parcubacteria group bacterium CG_4_9_14_0_2_um_filter_35_11. Its description in RNAcentral is "tRNA-Cys". It matches the Rfam family "tRNA". Rfam says of the family: Transfer RNA (tRNA) molecules are approximately 80 nucleotides in length. Their secondary structure includes four short double-helical elements and three loops (D, anti-codon, and T loops). The record is from RNAcentral.
GGCCAGGUAGCCAAGUGGUAAGGCGACAGUCUGCAAAACUGUCAUACGCGGGUUCGAUUCCCGCCCUGGCCU